This 556-nucleotide unclassified non-coding RNA is filed under the name Hevea brasiliensis (rubber tree). Lineage: Eukaryota; Viridiplantae; Streptophyta; Magnoliopsida; Malpighiales; Euphorbiaceae. The record is from RNAcentral.
UGAAACAAGAAAGUGAAGAACAAAGGGAAAUUCGAGAUUCAACAAUGUGACUUGAAAUGGAGGAUUCCAAGUUUGAGGAAUCUAAACUAGAAGCUCUGAUUGAGUUUCCUUUUGCCAUGAUUGAAGAUGAAGAACAUGAAGAAUGUGUUAAAAGGAAAUGACAAAUAUCACAUUUUGGAGAUUCCAAAAGAAGUUGAGGAAAAACAAUCAAUGGGGACAGUAUUGAAACUUGGAGAAAAUCAAGUUAUGGAUAUCCUGGAGAUUAAAAACUUCUCUAACUCCUUAAUUCCUAUUAUUUUGGUAAAUUUUAUUUGUUCGGGUGUUUUUGGGGAGACAAAGGUGAAGGUGAAGUUAAUUAAUUCAAUUUUGCUCAAUUCUCCAUUAACUACCUCAACAAAGAAAGUAAUAUUGUGUGCUUCUCCAAUGAAAACUUUCAUUCUCUUCCACUUCAAAAUUCAAGGGAGGACUUGUUCCAAGUAGGGGGAGAAUGAUGUGGAAGUUUUUAUGGCUUCGUUUGGGUUUGUUGCACAGUAUUCCAACUCAAUGACCAUUUUUU